Macaca mulatta (Rhesus monkey) is the source of this 1811-nucleotide non-coding RNA. The record is from RefSeq and is a predicted model, not a curated record. NCBI's taxonomy places the organism in Eukaryota, Metazoa, Chordata, Mammalia, Primates, Cercopithecidae.
GAGGGCAGGUGGAAACAUUAAACGGCAUCAUUAUGCCAAAAGUGAUGUCUUUGUCCAUCGGAAAGCCCUACAUGAAUGUUAUUUCACGCAGAGACAAUGACAGCAGAACGACUUGAUCUUCUAGGCAUGUUUUUCUGCAUUUUAGAAUGUUUGAUUUGAGACAUACAGGAAGGAGCAGGUUGUUACAUAAAUGCCCCCUAUCAACCCCACUUCCUGGUAUAUGUGCCCUGUGACCCUCCCACGCUGACCCUGGACUUGGCCAUGUGACUCGCUUGGCAUUAGCUGAGGUGAGGCCAGUAGAGGGCCAAUGAGCUGGGGCUUGCCCUCUGGCAACCUUGGCUGGAGGCCAGCGAGAGGCCAUCGCGGACCUCUAGAAGACCUCCAGACGACUGAAUAAACGGGGCUGACAAGACGUACCUGCCACAGCGACAGAGUCCUGAGCAAAUCUCUGCUUUCCAGUCACCAAGUUUGGGGCAGUUUGCCACUUGGCAACAGGUAACUCAUACACAGGGCAUCGAAAGCACAGGAAGUUCCUGUCUCCUGCCCAGGGUUCUGGAGAAAGUUAACGGCUGAGCCAAGUGUAGGAUUCACACCCCAGGAUUUUUCCUGCCUUCCCCAGUUUCUGUGUCUGCUCUUUCUGUAGAGCCUGACAUUUCAAGGGCCCUGGGGAAAAUGUUGACUGGUUUGGGACCAGACUCAGAAUGGCACCUACAAAGAAUUAUUAAUGGCACUGGCAUUCCUAAAUACUAGGAAGAGAAAGAGGUUUCAAGAAUGCCUGGUUCAAAGGCAGCUACAUCCCCUUGGAGACAUUGCUGAUCUGGAGACCCUUGACUCUGCUAGCAAGACUCCGUGGCCACACCCUCUUCGCCUUUGAUGGCUGACCCAUGGCCACAAGGUCAGACGUGCACACCAGAAAGCAGAAACAGUGCUUCCCACAGGCUGGCCAGCCCCGCGGGUCCCUGUGAGCCACACUGGAGCCCACAGCCAGGCCCGGGAGCAAGGAGCAGAUGCUCGGCCCUCUUCGAUCUGGCUCCUCCACAUCCUCCACCUCCCACAGCAUGGAUCCGCCAGCCCUAAAUGAGCAGCUACCAUUUGCUGGGGACUUUCUUCCCAGUCUGCAGUCAUUUGUUUGGUUAUCAUAUUAGUUUCCUAGGCUGCUGUAACAAAGUGCCACAAACAGGGUGGCUUCAAACAAAUGUCUGUCUCACAGUUCUGGAGGCCACAAGUCCAAGAUGAAGCUGGCGGCAGGGCCUGCCUCCUCUGAGACUGGCUGGAAGUCUCCCUGCCUCUUCCUAACUCCUGGUGUGGCCGCCAGUCCUUGGUACUCCAUGGUCUGCAGUGACAUGACUCCCACCUCCGCCCCUGUCGUCUCAUGGACUUCUCCCUGUGCGUGUGUCUCUGUCUCUUCUCCUCCUCUUCCAAGGACACGGGCACAUAGCACAGAGCCCACCCCACUCCAGGAGGAUCUACUCACAGUUACUGGAUUGCAUCUGUAAAGAUCCCAUCUCCAAGUAAGGUCACGGUCACAUGUACCAGGGUCUAGGACUUCCACAUCUCUUUUGUGGGGACGCAAUUCAACUCCCAACAGGUUUACGGUAAAAACGUGUCAAGGGCUUCUCUACAGUAAGCAUAAUAAUAGUGAUAUUAUCAUAAUAAAGUGCUUAUUUUGCCCCAGGGACCAUUCUAAAAAUUUUACACGUAUUAAUGGACUGAAAUUCUCAAUGAGUAGAUAUUGUUAUUACCUCCAUUUUAUAAGGAAGGAAACUGAGGCACAGAGAAGUAAAUAAAUAAAUGGCUUCACCGGUGCCCUA